RNAcentral lists this ribosomal RNA (4642 nucleotides) under Triticum aestivum (bread wheat). Its description in RNAcentral is "partial small subunit ribosomal RNA". Lineage: Eukaryota; Viridiplantae; Streptophyta; Magnoliopsida; Poales; Poaceae. The record is from RNAcentral.
CUAACUGGCGGCGAGCGGCAUCGGCGAAGGCGCCCCUGCGCGUCUUCGAAGCGGCGGGGUAUCAAAUGGUGAAAGCAGUUACCUAGUUCAAGACGGGUGGGGGUGAGGGUGAAAGGUUGGAGCGUCGGGAGGCCGCCAGGAGGGGUUGAAGGACGGACGCCCGGACGCCGGCAGGACGAGCGGCCGCCACGCUCCCCUCCCCCCGCGUGGGUGGUCGUCGCUGGAUGGAUCGUCAAAGAGGCAGAGAUGUCAUCGAUGACAGCUGGCAACUGCCGCUGAGGGACGCGGCAUACACAGUACGGUGGCGUCCAUGUCUCCAGCUACCAUACAGCUUCAACAGGAUGAUCCUUUAUUCUCAUAUGGUACCUCUUGCUCAGCGUCGUGUGUUCACGCUACGGUUCCCUAAAAUGUAAGGUUAACAAUUUCGUUUAAUGUUUACUAAAAAGACUCCUGUUGUCUUAACCACAACCGCCCAUGCCUCAUCAGAUGUUCCCUUGCGAACUGUCACCACUUCACUAACGACACUUCUUUGAAAUAAUGUUCGUAGGUCCUGAACUGUCGCUGUUCGUUAAAGUCUUACUCACAUGAUUGGAAUACUCCCAAGCAGUAGUUUUAUAUCAUUCCAAUCAACCGAUGACGGUACUUUAUGCAGUAUUUACGCAUCUCGUGUUACCCUUUAUACAAAAACGAUACCACCUUCUAUCUCGAGAGACGAAGCUUAUGAACCUCCCACCUUCGGAACUGUUUGUAGAGAGCCUGCUUAGGACGCCUAAACCAACCGUGUGCGCAAUGUUUUAGUAAUUUCCUUAAACACUCCCUAAUUUAAUGGAAGUAUUACCUAGUUUUCUCAGCUAAAAGGUAGACCUGAACUUUGGUCGGUUAUAUAACGACCUAUCCUUAUACUACGGUUUCUAUCCUCUAAAACCAAACAGGUCUGAGAAACUAAGUUGUCUUUGGACAAGGUGUUUUCCUUAAUAUCCUUGUGGACCUAUGUACGGUGGUCUUAUGUAGUUAUCCAAGGUGUAGUGUGGUUUCAAACUGCAUAAGUCAAACCCGCAAUGUUAAUAUUUUUAUUACCGUCCUGUGGUCCCGAUGAGGUUUAACCGCCUAUACAGAAGGGUUCUUAAAUAAGUUGAACAUGUACUUUUCACCCUUUUCCGUAACGUCUGUUGACACAACAGCGUAUGUAGUGUACCUCAAUUCUUUACGUAACUUUAUCGUAAUUCUACACACCUCCGACUGGCUCACUUUUCUGGAUGAUAUCGACUCCAACACCUACUUAACUCAUUCUAACUAUGACGGUAAUAGCUACUUAAUUUACUCUAACUAUGUCGGUCUUCAAGUGGUUAUCUCGUCCAUUGGUUGAAUGCUUCGUUAGUCCGGAAGUUGGGUACACACUUGAGUCCUUGCAAGAGUUUUCCACCACCAUUUCUACCCUUUUACUAAUCAAGGACGUCGUCAGUUCGGUAAGCUCGGAGAAGCCUAAGUCACGAAGAUUCACGCCUAUAAUUUACGGUCUAGAACGGUAGUCGGUCACAAUUUUAGAAGUCAAUACUAUUAGAGUCCAAUCGGUGUUCCUUCAAGGCGCGAUUGUGAGACGAGCCACUUCCUCCUAAACCUGCACAUAUAUUUCCUACCUAACUACUCUUGUGUAACAGUGGAACGUUUGGACCGUGACCAUAUUAACAACGUCACUUUUCUAAUUCGGUCCUCUCAAACGUUCCCGUGGUUCUCACCAACCGCCGUCUUCAAUUAAUGGAUCCAGUGGAAAGGGUGGGGUUGGAACACUUCAAUAAACCCAUGACGAAUCUCCUACUCGUGGCCGAUGAUCAUAUACUCAAGUAUGGUGCACCCUCGAACCUGUUAGUAGAAAUAUCCUCUCCGGGUACAGUUGGAGAAAGUACCUUGGACUCUUACUUUCAACGUGAACCUCGACGUUUUCGUGAUCGAAUGGAAGUGACACGUCUCUGUUUAUAGUAAAAAUCUCUAAAACCCUCAAGGGUAUAAGAUGAACUGUCUCAUUCACUUAGCAGUCAUGUAGUAUGAAGUGGAUAUACUCGUACACUACAGAUGACUUUCCUUACGUAGUAUGAUGACACGUCCUGAUAUGACGCUUCGAGCGACCAAAACCUGACCGUCAAUUACCAGGACAACCACUCCUCUCAGUAAAUUGGUGUUCCCAACACCCCUGUGUACCAAUACGUCGAGGUCUUAUGUAACGUUGUCCGGUAGAAUGUGUCUUCACACUGUAGAUAACGAAACCUCAUAAUGAAGACCUCUACAACAGUCCAGAGGCGCAGGAACUGGGCUUGGCCGGUCGUCCCCUCGUCGUAGAACACCUGACCCGGUCUGGUAUAGAGCUUGUAUUCGUGUUCUAUGCGACACAGUAUCUACGGUUAGAUCCACCAUAAAUGAGCAAGUCACGGCGUGUCUUUUAGCGACGGGAACGGGAGCUCACGCAAACGAACCUGGGGUUUUUCUCCGGCUGGUACCUACGCCGCCAGAGACAGGAACUUCCACAAGUCCUUCUGCUCCUUGGUCUUCGUCGCCUCGUGGUCCUUAGUCCGUUUUUCCAGUGACGCUCACGUUCGUCCUUCUUGCCGUUUAGAGCGACCUUAUAGAAGCCUCCCCCCGCCAGCACUAGGUUUCGGUAGACAAGCGAACCGUAUCGUCCGGUCCCAAACUAGUCUCAACAAUGACUCGAACCACCAACGUUUGCUUAGUAGUGCGUCUGCGUACUCGAUUUAAAUACUUCAGCAGGUGUCUACGCUUUUCAGGUAAGACGUGGGCUCGAGUAUACGAGGGCGUACUUGUCAUUUUAGCUUUUUUUUAGCUUUUUAAGGUUUUUUUUAAACUCUGUUUGUAACUGUUUUCAAGAUUCACGGACGUUUUUAAGCAGUACUUUAGUGUAAGGAUCUUCCGCACCGUUUUUUUUGUUUAAGUCACGAAGUUUUACGCAAACUUUCAUCGAAAAAGUCUCAUAAAAAAAACAAAAAAAACGGUGCGGAAGAUCCUUACACUAAAGUACUGCUUAAAAACGUCCGUGAAUCUUGAAAACAGUUACAAAGUGAGUUUUUUUUAACCUUAAAAAACUUAAAAAAAUAUAAAAAAAAGCUAAAAUGACAAGUACGCCCUCGUAUACUCAAGCCCACGUCUAAUCGACGCAGGGGUAUCUACGACGAUAAUAGUUGUGACCUGUCUCAGUUCUACAUCAUAUAAACUACUACUGCCGGCUUUGUGGAAUGUGGAGUCUUAGUUCGUGCUAAAACGGGCGGCUCUUUGUUCUACUGAGUGUCGAGUGACUAUUCUACUUCUGCUGUGGUUAGAACUAAUGUGUAACUGCACCAUAGCCGUCACGACAUUUCCAUUUUGUACAGAACCGACAUUAAAUACAAGUAUUAUCCGUUAUUAUCGUUUGGCUUAACUUUUUGGACAAUCGUUAGACAUGGUUCAGACGUUGAGUUCUCCUAACUGUUACCUCUCUUAAGAAAAAAUAACAACGUAAUUUGGGUUCUCCUAAUACGUUAGAGGGGCAACGGCACCGACAGCCUGUACCUCAAGGGACCGGGAUCCAACGUGGUAAAAGGGUAUACCAAUUUUAGUACCAACCCUUACCAGUCGCACACGAAAAAACCGCACUAUCCAGGGGUACCAAAAAGACGACCUGUACUCCGAGUCUUGGUCUACAGCCGCACGAUACAUACACACGGAGGUCCUUCUUCUAUGCCCGUUAUGUUGCACGUCGAGUACGGAGCCGAUACUUGCGCUGCUGCGCCAGGUACUCGGCGAACCGCAACAGCGUUACCUCGAAGGGUUCCUUCUUGUGCACCGGGAGGGGGAGGUCGAGGUCGGUUCGGCGGGAGGGCGCGGUGGGCGAGCGCCGGUGCCGGAGCAUCAUGCGCGCCAACGCGCGCCGGUCGGGCAGGAGCUCGGGGCACCAGUGGUCGUAGGAGCGCGUGCGCUCGGAGAGGUCGCGGCCGCUGCGGUCGCCCAAGUAGGAGCCCAGCAGGCGCGGCGGGUGGCGGCUGGGCGCCGUGCGCAUCCUGGUCUCCUCGGGCCAGUGGGACCGGCGCCGGCCCCCGAGGGGGAGCUAGCGGCACAAGGGCGACUUGGUGCCCACGUCGUCAUGGCGCGGGAGCUAGGAGCCAGGCGGCAGGGAGUGCUCGUAGAGCACGCGCUACAACCGCGGCCGCGACAGGGGGCGCUGCUUGUCGAAUCUCCGCAGCGGCACCAGCCGCUAGGUCGGCAGGACGCGGCUCCGUCGGGUGGCCUCGCGCCGGGUCCUCAGCAGCAUCCGCCGCCCCUCGCCCACGAGGCCCCGCUCCGCCAUCAGCUGCCUGUGGCGCUCCUGCGGCCGGCGCCGCCGCUCGCGCAACUCCAUCAACACCAUGCACCCCAGCGCCCGGCUGGGCUACUCCUUCCGCGGCGGCACCUUCAUCUGCUGCUGGCCCUCGAAGCACCUCCGCAGGACCUCGAACAACCCCUCCAUCUCCGCGUGCCUCUCCGGGCACGGGCGCAGCUCCUGCUGCAGGAACCUCCACUGCGGCCACCGGAGCAGCUGCGGCCGCCCGUCCUACCACCCCAGCAACUCCGCCAGAUAGAAGGGCGAGGACAUCUGCGCCUUCGAGGGGCCGCGGAGAUC